UCCUACGGGAGGCAGCAGUAGGGAAUCUUCCGCAAUGGACGAAAGUCUGACGGAGCAACGCCGCGUGAGUGAUGAAGGCUUUCGGGUCGUAAAACUCUGUUGUUAGGGAAGAACAAGUGCUAGUUGAAUAAGCUGGCACCUUGACGGUACCUAACCAGAAAGCCACGGCUAACUACGUGCCAGCAGCCGCGGUAAUACGUAGGUGGCAAGCGUUAUCCGGAAUUAUUGGGCGUAAAGCGCGCGCAGGUGGUUUCUUAAGUCUGAUGUGAAAGCCCACGGCUCAACCGUGGAGGGUCAUUGGAAACUGGGAGACUUGAGUGCAGAAGAGGAAAGUGGAAUUCCAUGUGUAGCGGUGAAAUGCGUAGAGAUAUGGAGGAACACCAGUGGCGAAGGCGACUUUCUGGUCUGUAACUGACACUGAGGCGCGAAAGCGUGGGGAGCAAACAGGAUUAGAUACCUUGGUAGUCCACGCCGUAAACGAUGAGUGCUAAGUGUUAGAGGGUUUCCGCCCUUUAGUGCUGAAGUUAACGCAUUAAGCACUCCGCCUGGGGAGUACGGCCGCAAGGCUGAAACUCAAAGGAAUUGACGGA
Molecule: ribosomal RNA, 590 nt
Filed under: uncultured bacterium
Lineage: Bacteria
Description: bacterial SSU rRNA
Rfam family: Bacterial small subunit ribosomal RNA
Source: RNAcentral